This is a long non-coding RNA of Balaenoptera musculus (blue whale), 663 nucleotides long. RefSeq lists it as uncharacterized. The transcript is spliced from 3 exons. Lineage: Eukaryota; Metazoa; Chordata; Mammalia; Artiodactyla; Balaenopteridae. The record is from RefSeq and is a predicted model, not a curated record.
UUGGUCCCCUCCGGUUCACGUGUCUCUGGGCAAUUUUAUCCCCUUUCUUCCUAAUAAGCCUGCGUGGAACGCAGAGCCUGCGCAAUAGCACCAGUGAAGUUCCCGAUGCCCUGAACUCUGAUUCUCUUAGUGCCGGGCGUGGUGAGGUUGUGUCCGCGUUUGGACAGCAGAAGCCCACUCUGGUGCCGUCUCCUCGCGGGUUCUGGAAGGGAGCCAGUUCCUCUUGGUUUUGGAUGAAACGGUUAAAUGCCUGCGGAGAUCACCGGAGCGAACAAGAUAAGGCAACAACAAAAAAGCGCUCAAAACUGAUGCUAUAGCUUAACUCCCGCACCAUAAUGAGAUGAGAAAAUUGAGCCACAGAAGGGUUAAGUGACAUCGCAAGGCUGCAAAGCCAGUUAGUGAAAAAUUAAGAUUGAAUUCAGGUCUCAGUCCUCAACAUCUUUACAGGCUGAGCUAUGUCAAAGAACAGAAUGUUUCUUUCCUAUUCUCCCUGUAACCAGAGCACUCUGUACAGGCCUUUGUUUUAUCACUUAUGAUAUUAAUAUUGUAAUUAUUUGCUUUUACUUCUCUUCCCCAACUCAAGGCUGGAAGAUGUGUCAUUUAUCUUUGUUCCUCUAGCAUUAUGCUAUACCAGAUACAUAGUAGGCAUUCAAUGAAUGUUUA